Cinara cedri is the source of this 294-nucleotide non-coding RNA. The record is from the annotation of a GenBank genome assembly. NCBI's taxonomy places the organism in Eukaryota, Metazoa, Arthropoda, Insecta, Hemiptera, Aphididae.
UAAACAAUGAUUUAUCGUAGCUUACAAAUAUAAAUUCGAAUACCUAUAACAAUGGUCACUAAUCCCCAUAAUCCUAGGACGUCUUAUGAACCUCCCACCCCCCUGAAUUUUUUGUUUGUGUACGUGUCUGACCAAAAUCAUUUGCUAACAUUAACAUAUCGAUUAAACUUGUACUUACUAUUAGUAAACAUUCAGCAAGUCGUGUUCUGCUGACUUUGAUCAGCUAACUUUAAGAACAUAAUAUUAUAAAUUUAUAUUAUCUCGAAGCUGUCUAUUGUAUCUCUAUCGCCAUUU